CAGUGGAACACAGCGGUUUGGGAAAGAUGAUCCUCUGGAAGAUGGGAGGGCUGACCCCAGAAGGAAGCCUGUGCUUGAGGCUUGGUCUCCUGGCAGAGAAGGAACAGGGGGAAAAGGUGGGAAGAACUUUAAAACCAUCAGCUGAUGUUCUUUGAGUGCUCAUGCUUUCAGCAGGAGAAGCCGAGGGGAAUUUUUCCUUCCAUGUGGAUGGAAGCAGGAUCAGGCUAUUUAUCUUUGAUGAAAUGCCAAGAAAUGGCUGGUUGUGUUCAGAAGCAGCAAAAAAGAUGUAAUAAAUUGUGCUUCCUGCUCUGAGAAAUGAGUGAGGAGCCCAGAUCUGAUAGCUGCCUGCACACAUCCUUCCUUUUGUGCUGUGAGUGAUGGGACUGCAGCACCCAGAGAGGAUCUGGGGUUGGAGAACACGCCGAGGUCUGACACUUCUGCCACCUGAAGAGCUGACUAAACUUGCCUUGGAGUGUUAGAGGAGGGGGACUGGGAGUUGUAGAGGUCCCAUUUCCACAGGACAGCUCUGUGGGUGCUGUGGGUCGCUUACUGCACGGAAGAAAAGCAGCCCCAGUUCUGGGGUUCACCUGACUUUGGGAAGUCAGCCUAUUAAAAAUUAUCUUCAAACUCCAAGCAGGGCAAAAAAGAACUCCAGGCUGCUAUUCCUGGUGGGAAAGCACGGAGAAGGGAAGGCACUGAGGGUCUGCUGUGGAAUCAGAGGCAGCUGAAGGGAGGAGGACCUCAAUGCCUGUAAAGAGAAUCCACCUGGAUAAACAGGCAGCACCACCCCUGUUUAUUCUGUGUAUUCCUGUCUAACAAAGUGCUGCUCCUGUUGCUGUGGGAGCUGGAGUGAUGUGAGAUUUAAGAGGCUGGUGAAGAUGCUGUGCUGAGCUGCUUGAUGCCACCUCAGCCAGAGAACAACAUCGCUGCCUCCCCCUGAAUAUUUUGCCUUGAAGAUUGGAAGCUCCACAUCAAUCCAAAAUCCCAUUAUUGGCUUUUUUUUCACUAUUAUUUCUUUUGUAACAGAGCCAGAGGAGCGGUUGGCCCUGCCCUUUUUCCAGCAUCCUGGUUUUCCCUCUGUCUUGCCUGCCUGGGAAACACCAGCAUUGCACAGUGCCUGUGCUGGCUCACAAGUGACUCAGUACUUGAUCAAUACUGCUGGUGGCUGUUGGUGCAGCCACUGAUGGGAAGCUGGAGGAGAAUUAUUCCGGUGAAAGCCUCCGAGAAAAAUCAGUCAGAGAAGGCUGCCCCGUGCCAUGGAUGCUGUCCUCCACACCCUGUGCACCAUCCAUCUUCCCAACUAUGUGCUGUCACUUCUUCCAGGAAGGGGCAGAUUAAAAAAAAAUUGGUCAUGACAGGGGCUCUUUGUUAAAUGGAAACUGUUUUAGUGGAAAAACAGCAGCCUGUGUCCCUCACCGAGCACUUAGAGGUAAUGUUUGUACAU
Cyanistes caeruleus (blue tit) is the source of this 1444-nucleotide long non-coding RNA. RefSeq lists it as uncharacterized. The record is from RefSeq and is a predicted model, not a curated record. NCBI's taxonomy places the organism in Eukaryota, Metazoa, Chordata, Aves, Passeriformes, Paridae.